GUAUGUUUGCCCCUGUCACUUCUAAUGUUUGAAUAUGCCUUGAGUCUUUUUCCUUGACAAUCGAAUUGUCAGUGCUUCAGCUCACCAUAUGUGAGCCACCUUGGUACUUGUGCACCAUCUACCUGAAUCACAUUUGUGUCAUCAUAGACAUCCUGUAACUUGGUGGUUACAAAGAUGUCACAUGAGUUGGUACAGGUGUUUUGUAACAGCCAACUCACAGAGUUAAUGUUGUUAGCAAAAUAUUUCUGAGUUGAAUAUAUUCAGUAAUGGAAGAAAUUUUUUGGUUUACAGUAGAGAAGGGGCAGUUCCACUGCUUGAGAAGUGUGUUAAUGCACAACCCAGAUUACUGUUUUUAGCAUUUCAAUUUUUUAUUGGUCAAAUGAAUGAUUAAUGUAAAACAAGUUGCAGAAGCAGUUAACUCAUUCCACAACUAAGUAAAAAACUUGAUUAUGAUCAGCUACCAGCACAGAAUUGUAAGAAUACGAGAGGUAGUUCCUAGUGAACUGAGCAACUUUAUAUCAGUCAUGGAGUCCAGUGAGAUUAAGCAAAGCUUCCUGCAGUUGAAACGCUUCCUCAGAGAGAAGGAAAAAGACUGCUGCAGAAAAGAGAAACGUCACUACACAAGAGUCCAUGCCCUCAUGUUGGCUUUGCAAAAAAGAACUGGGAGGCCUGGCAGACACCAAGUUGACUGUGAGUCAGCAAUGUGUCCUUGUGAUGAAACCAGUCAACAGCACAAGAGAAUGACUCAGAAAAAAGACUGCCAGCAGGUAAAGGGAGGCUUUCCUGUCCCUCUGCUCAGCACUGGUGGGACCACAGAUGGAAUGCUCUGUCUGGCUAUGGGCUUUCCAUUACAAAAGAGAUGGGGAUGUACAGGAGCAGGACCAGAGAAGAUGAUUAAAGUGUCUGUCAUGAGAGGAGAGGCUUAGAGACAUAGGACUUGUUACCCUGGAGAGGAAAAAGUGCAGGGGCAUCUUAUCUGUGCACAUAACCUUCUUGAUGAGAGGGUAACAAAAAGAUAGAGCUAGACUUUCUCCUGUGAACAGGCAAGAGAGAAGGAACACAACCUGAAAUAUCAGAAAUUACAUUUAAACAUAAGAAAAUACAUUUUCUUUUGGAUAGGGAGGUAAAUCCACAUUGCCCAAAGAAUCUGUGGUGUCUCCAUCCUUGGAAAUAUUCAAAACUCAGAAGGACAUGAUUCCAAGUAACCUGCUGUAGCUGACUCUGAUUGAAAGAGGGAGCUUGGAGUAGAAAAUCAGCAGAUGUCACUUCCAGUCUCAGCUGUUCUCUGCUUGCAUAUUAUAUCUAGAGGAAGAUCUCAAGGGAGAUGGAGAGAGCAGGGUUAUUACACAUUAAUGUGCAAAGUACAGUGAUGUGGAUGAAGGACUUGGAAUGAGAAUGUACGGCAUAUUUCACAGAGAAGUAUUGUUUCCAUGCUGAACAGAGAGAAAAGUUGCCUCAUAGUGGCUGACCCUUGGAUGUCUCUUUGUGCUUGCUGGAGGGGUGCAAUUUGAACCACUAGGUGUGGAAGGUUUCAGAUUUUGUCUUGUUAUCUACUAAGCCUUAUUUCUGGUACUGCACAGAAGUCUGUUAGAGAGAAAGGGUCUCAGUUCUUCAGAAAAACCUUUUGGAAGGCUGUGACAAAAAUGCCAGUUGCAACAAGGACAUUUUUGAGGCUUAUUUAUUGUUGUCUUUUUUCAUGAAAAUCUUUUGGAGCAUUUUGAUAUUGUUAAAAACAG
Molecule: long non-coding RNA, 1736 nt
Organism: Cyanistes caeruleus (blue tit)
Lineage: Eukaryota; Metazoa; Chordata; Aves; Passeriformes; Paridae
Source: Ensembl